UCCGAUAUGUGCAACUAUCCUACGACCUUCGAGUUUGAUACAAUCAAAGCUCAGUUGAAGGAGGCGGAGGGAGCCAUCUCCCAGCUGAUUGACAUCAAUGGCAAGUUGACGAAGAAAGCUGAACAUAUCGCUACAUCGACCGGUCUGGUUCAGGAACCGAACGAAACACAGAGCAAACACCGAAGGCAGAUAUCGGAACUUGCAGGCAGAAGUUCUGAGAAGAUCGGAAGGCUGGAGUUGGAGCUGCAGAAAAUCCAGUAUAUAUUUCUGAAACUCAGUGAAGAACAUGAUAACAAGAAACCG
This 303-nucleotide unclassified non-coding RNA is filed under the name Hevea brasiliensis (rubber tree). The record is from RNAcentral. Lineage: Eukaryota; Viridiplantae; Streptophyta; Magnoliopsida; Malpighiales; Euphorbiaceae.